GACCGCUUAGCUCAGUUGGUUAGAGCGUGGUGCUGAUAACACCAAGGCCACGGGUUCAAUUCCCGUUCGGUCU
Molecule: transfer RNA, 73 nt
Filed under: Apaloderma vittatum (bar-tailed trogon)
Lineage: Eukaryota; Metazoa; Chordata; Aves; Trogoniformes; Trogonidae
Rfam family: tRNA
About the family: Transfer RNA (tRNA) molecules are approximately 80 nucleotides in length.
Source: Rfam by way of RNAcentral